Molecule: ribosomal RNA, 387 nt
Filed under: uncultured Spirochaeta sp.
Lineage: Bacteria; Pseudomonadati; Spirochaetota; Spirochaetia; Spirochaetales; Spirochaetaceae
Description: bacterial SSU rRNA
Rfam family: Bacterial small subunit ribosomal RNA
Source: RNAcentral
AGGAAUGUUGUAGAGAUACAGCAGCCGCUUGCGGUCUGUAGUACAGGUGCUGCAUGGCUGUCGUCAGCUCGUGCUGUGAAGUGUGGGUUAAGUCCCGCAACGAGCGUAACCCUAUCAUCUGUUGCCAGCAUUUAAGGUGGGGACUCAGAUGAGACUGCCGGUGACAAACCGGAGGAAGUGGGGACGACGUCAAGUCAUCAUGGCCCUUAUGUCCUGGGCUACACACGUGCUACAAUGGCCGGUACAGAGUGAAGCGAAACCGCGAGGUGAAGCAAAACGCAGAAAGCCGGUCUCAGUACGGAUUGGAGUCUGAAACUCGACUUCAUGAAGUUGGAAUCGCUAGUAAUCGCGCAUCAGCAUGGCGCGGUGAAUACGUUCCCGGGCCUU